Molecule: ribosomal RNA, 431 nt
Filed under: uncultured bacterium
Lineage: Bacteria
Description: partial 16S ribosomal RNA
Rfam family: Bacterial small subunit ribosomal RNA
Source: RNAcentral
GAUGAACGCUGGCGGCAGGCCUAACACAUGCAAGUCGAGCGCCCUUUCGGGGGAGCGGCGGACGGGUGAGUAACGCGUGGGAAUAUGCCCUUCUCUACGGAAUAGCCUCGGGAAACUGAGAGUAAUACCGUAUACGCCCUGUGGGGGAAAGAUUUAUCGGGGAAGGAUUAGCCCGCGUUGGAUUAGGUAGUUGGUGGGGUAAUGGCCUACCAAGCCGACGAUCCAUAGCUGGUUUGAGAGGAUGAUCAGCCACACUGGGACUGAGACACGGCCCAGACUCCUACGGGAGGCAGCAGUGGGGAAUCUUAGACAAUGGGGGCAACCCUGAUCUAGCCAUGCCGCGUGAGUGAUGAAGGCCUUAGGGUUGUAAAGCUCUUUCAGCUGGGAAGAUAAUGACGGUACCAGCAGAAGAAGCCCCGGCUAACUCCGUG